RNAcentral lists this ribosomal RNA (497 nucleotides) under uncultured bacterium. Its description in RNAcentral is "partial 16S ribosomal RNA". It matches the Rfam family "Bacterial small subunit ribosomal RNA", at positions 28 to 507 of the family's 1533-position model. The record is from RNAcentral.
GAUGAACGCUGGCGGCGUGCCUAAUACAUGCAAGUCGAGCGAACAGACGAGGAGCUUGCUCCUCUGACGUUAGCGGCGGACGGGUGAGUAACACGUGGAUAACCUACCUAUAAGACUGGGAUAACUUCGGGAAACCGGAGCUAAUACCGGAUAAUAUAUUGAACCGCAUGGUUCAAUAGUUAAAGACGGUUUUGCUGUCACUUAUAGAUGGAUCCGCGCCGCAUUAGCUAGUUGGUAAGGUAACGGCUUACCAAGGCAACGAUGCGUAGCCGACCUGAGAGGGUGAUCGGCCACACUGGAACUGAGACACGGUCCAGACUCCUACGGGAGGCAGCAGUAGGGAAUCUUCCGCAAUGGGCGAAAGCCUGACGGAGCAACGCCGCGUGAGUGAUGAACGUCUUCGGAUCGUAAAACUCUGUUAUUAGGGAAGAACAAAUGUGUAAGUAACUAUGCACGUCUUGACGGUACCUAAUCAGAAAGCCACGGCUAACUACGUG